Molecule: long non-coding RNA, 1077 nt
Filed under: Capsicum annuum
Lineage: Eukaryota; Viridiplantae; Streptophyta; Magnoliopsida; Solanales; Solanaceae
Description: long non-coding RNA (CANN_LNC002754)
Source: RNAcentral
AGUCUUGAAGUAUUUUUUUGAAGGUAUCAAAAGAUUUUUCCAUGGCUAACUUUACUACAAAAUCACCAGUUAAAUUUAUGGUACCAUCGCACUUGAUACUCACAGGAUAAUAUCAAUACUGAAGAUUUUGACCAACUCUCCGGUGGAAGGCUAUUAUCAUUUGGAUCAUCUAUUUUGCACAAAAGCCAUAACAGAGUCAACAAAUAUUUGGGUCAUUUUGAAACUUUUAUAACCUCAAGAAUAGCUGUUAAAUGCUUCAAGAUCCUCGAAGAGCUUUAUUAAAAAAGUGGUAUAUUGUUGUUAACGUCUAUCGCCCAGAGAAUACUAUGUACAACCAAACCAAGCUCAAUGAUUGCUUGUGUUUCUUCGAAAGUCUUUUUCCUUUCAACUCUUCUAUCAAAUUUUUAUUUUUGAAGCUUGGACCAAUAAGGGACAACAAGUCAUCACCAUCACUUGCCUUUUGACUUUUAAGGUGCGAGGUGCUUUUUUGGAUUAAAGUAGGUAUAGGAUGAAAAGAAGGAUAAUAUUUUAGUCUAAUAACUAUGACAAACUCCUUCAAACCUAAACAAACAGGUAUGGCACCUUAAUUUAUCCACACCUCAUUUAUCUUAUUUUUAUUUUCACACAUAAAACUACUCUUGAGAAGAUCAUACGCCAUGGUCAUUUGGAAAUAAGCAUUGUUGUCCACAGGAAUCAAUAUAUUGUUCAAAGUCGAUACCCCUGAAAUACACAUCUGAUAUUUAGUCUUGAAGUAUUUUUUUGAAGGUAUCAAAAGAUUUUUCCAUGGCUAACUUUACUACAAAAUCACCAGUUAAAUUUAUGGUACCAUCGCACUUGAUACUCACAGGAUAAUAUCAAUACUGAAGAUUUUGACCAACUCUCCGGUGGAAGGCUAUUAUCAUUUGGAUCAUCUAUUUUGAAAUUUUUCUCUUCGCUUUCUUUUCUUUUGGAAGUCAUAUUAUCUAAAAAUGAGAGAACUAAAAAAGAUUAUAAUUGAUUAAUGCAUUGUUAAAAAAAAGUUAACAGUAAAUCUAACAAGUACAAAACAUUAACACAACAGUUCCAACAUAUUACUCA